Molecule: unclassified non-coding RNA, 372 nt
Filed under: uncultured Gammaproteobacteria bacterium
Lineage: Bacteria; Pseudomonadati; Pseudomonadota; Gammaproteobacteria
Description: contains 16S-23S intergenic spacer region
Source: RNAcentral
UCCGGUUUGUCACCGGCAGUCUCAUUAGAGUGCCCUUUCGUAGCAACUAAUGACAAGGGUUGCGCUCGUUGCGGGACUUAACCCAACAUCUCACGACACGAGCUGACGACAGCCAUGCAGCACCUGUGUUCCGGUUCUCUUGCGAGCACUGCCUAAUCUCUUAAGCAUUCCAGACAUGUCAAGGGUAGGUAAGGUUUUUCGCGUUGCAUCGAAUUAAUCCACAUCAUCCACCGCUUGUGCGGGUCCCCGUCAAUUCCUUUGAGUUUUAAUCUUGCGACCGUACUCCCCAGGCGGUCAACUUCACGCGUUAGCUGCGCUACUAAGGCCCGAGGGCCCCAACAGCUAGUUGACAUCGUUUAGGGCGUGGACUAC